This 468-nucleotide ribosomal RNA is filed under the name uncultured bacterium. Its description in RNAcentral is "partial 16S ribosomal RNA". It matches the Rfam family "Bacterial small subunit ribosomal RNA", at positions 28 to 507 of the family's 1533-position model. The record is from RNAcentral.
GACGAACGCUGGCGGCGUGCUUAACACAUGCAAGUCGAACGGAAAGGCCCUGCUUUUGUGGGGUGCUCGAGUGGCGAACGGGUGAGUAACACGUGAGUAACCUGCCCUUGACUUUGGGAUAACUUCAGGAAACUGGGGCUAAUACCGGAUAGGAGCUCCUGCUGCAUGGUGGGGGUUGGAAAGUUUCGGCGGUUGGGGAUGGGCUCGCGGCUUAUCAGCUUGUUGGUUGGGUAGUGGCUUACCAAGGCUUUGACGGGUAGCCGGCCUGAGAGGGUGACCGGCCACAUUGGGACUGAGAUACGGCCCAGACUCCUACGGGAGGCAGCAGUGGGGAAUAUUGCACAAUGGGCGGAAGCCUGAUGCAGCAACGCCGCGUGCGGGAUGACGGCCUUCGGGUUGUAAACCGCUUUCGCCUGUGACGAAGCGUGAGUGACGGUAAUGGGUAAAGAAGCACCGGCUAACUACGUG